Molecule: non-coding RNA, 223 nt
Filed under: Neobacillus bataviensis
Lineage: Bacteria; Bacillati; Bacillota; Bacilli; Caryophanales; Bacillaceae
Description: Bacillus bataviensis T-box sequence
Rfam family: T-box leader
About the family: Uncharged tRNA acts as the effector for transcription antitermination of genes in the T-box leader family.
Source: RNAcentral
GAAAACACAAUGAUUGGGAGCAUUAAGGACUAUUUAUUGUAUAGAGAGCUGUCGGUUGGUGAAAGACGGUCAAUAAAUCCCCCAACUCGCCCAGGAGUGGUAAGGCCGAUAUGUAGGCCUUAACGGUCGGCCGCCGUAAUCGAGUCGUAAAGUGGAUUCGUUUUGUUUUUUAAAACGAAUCAAAAAGAGUGGUACCACGUAGGCAAAGCCUGUCGUCUCUUAU